Molecule: ribosomal RNA, 468 nt
Filed under: uncultured bacterium
Lineage: Bacteria
Description: partial 16S ribosomal RNA
Rfam family: Bacterial small subunit ribosomal RNA
Source: RNAcentral
GACGAACGCUGGCGGCGUGCUUAACACAUGCAAGUCGAACGGAAAGGCCCUGCUUUUGUGGGGUGCUCGAGUGGCGAACGGGUGAGUAACACGUGAGUAACCUGCCCUUGACUUUGGGAUAACUUCAGGAAACUGGGGCUAAUACCGGAUAGGAGCUCCUGCUGCAUGGUGGGGGUUGGAAAGUUUCGGCGGUUGGGGAUGGACUCGCGGCUUAUCAGCUUGUUGGUGGGGUAGUGACUUACCAAGGCUUUGACGGGUAGCCGGCCUGAGAGGGUGACCGGCCACAUUGGGACUGAGAUACGGCCCAGACUCCUACGGGAGGCAGCAGUGGGGAAUAUUGCACAAUGGGCGGAAGCCUGAUGUAGCAACGCCGCGUGCGGGAUGACGGCCUUCGGGUUGUAAACCGCUUUCGCCUGUGACGAAGCGUGAGUGACGGUAAUGGGUAAAGAAGCACCGGCUAACUACGUG